GGUUCUAUCAAUGUAACCAAAGGUAAAUUCCUCCUUGAUAUUCCUCAUAUAAUUAAUUAUUAUAAAUUAAUGGAAAUUUUGGUAUGCUAGAUCAAAAUGCAACCAAUUAAAUUGGCAAUUUUAUUUCCCGACAAAUAAUGAAUUUGAUUUUCUGUAAAGUAAACAGCGAAAUGAAAAAUCAUAGUUUAUUAGAUUUAGGCAAAAAUGACAGGAUAGCAAACUUUGUUAUGCAGGUGU
This 237-nucleotide unclassified non-coding RNA is filed under the name Hevea brasiliensis (rubber tree). The record is from RNAcentral. Lineage: Eukaryota; Viridiplantae; Streptophyta; Magnoliopsida; Malpighiales; Euphorbiaceae.